Pyrenophora tritici-repentis Pt-1C-BFP is the source of this 221-nucleotide small nucleolar RNA. It matches the Rfam family "Small nucleolar RNA snR191". The record is from Rfam. NCBI's taxonomy places the organism in Eukaryota, Fungi, Ascomycota, Dothideomycetes, Pleosporales, Pleosporaceae.
CACCCUCCUUAAGUCAAGGACCUAUUCCUAUUCCAUGAAAUGGUUCUGUUACAAGUUGGGAAGAGCAAAAGUGGCUCGCCGUCCUAAGAUCGUCUUGAUCUCGGGUCGACUGCAACCGUCUUGGUUGUGGUCAAUAGAGUCACGCGUGAUUUGUUUGAGUUGAGGACCGUCUCUGCACUAGCAGCUUCAUGGCGGUACUCUUAGUAAUAUUUCGCACAUUC